GCGAUUUUGAUUAAAAGAUUUAUAUUCUAAAUAUUCGGUGACCCUGGGGAAUCAAAUUCUAAUGUUCCUGCAAGAAAGAAAUGUCGCGUGUUUUUUUAUAAAUACGCCUCGUUUAACGAAGGACCAAAGAGUUUCGAUAUGUUUAGAAUAUGUAAGGGUAACUAAUGCUCGUGAGGUUAUUUCUGCGGCGUUGGGCAUGUCUCUGAAAACGAACGUCAUGCACUUUCUGACUUUCGUGUGUCUAAACACAGGUUAUUGCUGUAUUAAUAUUUGAUAGGCCGUUUUUGGCUAAUUUUCGACACUUUCAAAAAUGGUUACUCAAGUUUAAACGUAUAGCUCUCUCGGUCAAUAUUGCACGAAAAUGCACAAUUUAAGUUAGACAAUACUGAAUGCAAUGCACGUAGUUCACGUGUAAUUGCUCCCUCAGUUUUUAAGUUAAAACAAAUCAAUACUUAACAGGGCAAAUUUUUUUU
Paramuricea clavata is the source of this 473-nucleotide non-coding RNA. NCBI's taxonomy places the organism in Eukaryota, Metazoa, Cnidaria, Anthozoa, Malacalcyonacea, Plexauridae. The record is from the annotation of a GenBank genome assembly.